GGAGAGAUGGGUGAGUGGCUGAAACCAACGGUUUGCUAAACCGUCGUAGUGGGUAAACUGCUACCGAGAGUUCGAAUCUCUCUCUCUCCG
This 90-nucleotide transfer RNA is filed under the name Bacteroidota bacterium. Its description in RNAcentral is "tRNA-Ser". It matches the Rfam family "tRNA". Rfam says of the family: Transfer RNA (tRNA) molecules are approximately 80 nucleotides in length. Their secondary structure includes four short double-helical elements and three loops (D, anti-codon, and T loops). Lineage: Bacteria; Pseudomonadati; Bacteroidota. The record is from RNAcentral. RNAcentral also lists the same sequence under 2 other names.